CGGAGACAGCGCCGACGCCGACGCCUCCCUGGGCGGAACCGCAAUCUGCACGCCAAAAAAAGAAAGGCGUCGUCAAUAGUCUCUAGGUAAAGCAGCGCCGCCGCUGCUGCCUCAGGUGAGCUUCGGGCGGCACGGCCUUCAGGCCCACCAGAACUUGCAGCCCGAGUUAUAUAUAUGAGAAAAGAAACUGAAGCAACACCAACAAUCAGCAAGACUUCUGCCUUCUCCCCUUGUUGUGUCACAUAAGAGCAAGAUAAGGAGUGAGCUGUACAUAGCAAACAAGCAAAGGGGAAAUGGCUGCUGAGCCGCACCCACCAUUGUGAGGCCUGAGGAGGUGAUGAUGAUGAUGCCUCUCCAGCUGCUGUUAUUGGCUGUGGACAUCCUGUGAUGUCACAUAAGCACAUGGAAGCUCAGUGGAUAUACAAAAGCAGCCCUAGGGGAAAGCCCAAGGCAAAAGCUUGAAGAGGACAUGGUGGACAACAGCUGUGUUAUUCAGUACUUGGUGGUCUCCUUCCGCAUGGAGGCGAAGUGGCAAAUGGAAGGAGGCCAUCAUCCAUCAAUGAGAUGCUGUGGAGCAAUGAGAAGGCAAGUAUACCUGCUGAGCAGGACCGAAGCUUGAAAGUGGCAGAUAUCCAUGGUUGGAAGCUGGCGAUGGACCUGGCAGAAGCUGUGAUUAGCAUGUGGAAGCCCGGGAUGCCGCAGAGCUGAAGGAGGCUGAAGUUAGUGCGCAUAAGCUGGUUGAAAUUCACCUUCAGAAGGCCAUUGACAAAAGCUGUGUGGAUAUUUGUGGGUUGAUGCUGGGGUAAGUAUGAAUGGUGAGUGUGGACAUAGGUCACCCACCAGACAUGGUAUGCCUGGGAAUUGCAUGUUCAGAUAGCGGUGUAGGCUGCCCUCCAGGCUCUGGGCGAAUGAACCACUGGUUCAUGGGUGGAAGCCAGCGGAGGUUGGCAGGCUGGCCAGUGGAGGUGGCUGGAUGAUAACUGUUGAAUGAGGGCCAUUCCCCUCACCGUAUCUGUGUUUGCCUUUCAUGGAUGUCACAGGCUGACGAGGCUUUCCCCGAAAGCAGCAAUGAAGGGGACAGCAGAGCUUAAGCAAGCCAUCUUCUACUUCUAAAUCAAGAUCGCUUGGCAAGAGCCCCAGCCCUUUAACGGUUCCUGCAUUUCUGCAGAGUGCCAAAAACUGCGGGAAAUAAAAUGAAAAACAAGAACCUGGCCGGGCGUCCCCGUGCCCACUGGACCCAGCACAUGCUCCUUUGCAACAUCCGAAGCCAACGGUAGCCAGGAAGACGUGCCAGGUGAAUUAAUUUUCACUUUCCCAGGCAUUCUGAGAUCAUUUUAAGAUCUCCAGUGUUUUUAGCUCUCCUGUGCCAAUUUAAGUUUUGCUGUUGCUCGUUUUAUUCAUUCAGUUUUGUACUGUGAUUGACCUUGAUCUGUUAAAUUUUCAGAGCUCUUGUAGAUUUUUUUUUUAUGGGUUUCAGCUUUUAUUGUUAAGUAUCCAGUGGGUAUUGUCAACUGGGCAAUAUACAUUAUGCUGGCUUUUGAAGUUGCACCUGUUUACACAGGCAUUCCUUUGAUCACUCAACCUGAGCUUCCUGUUUUAAAUGUCGUGCUAUUUUAUUGCAUAAUUGAAUUAUGGAUGGUUUUUUUUUAAAAGUUUUAAUUGGAUUGUUUUAUUGUGCAUUUUAAUUAUAGAUGGUUAUAGUUCAAAGUUUGUAAAAGUCUGUUUUUGCAUUAAGUACUGUA
Molecule: non-coding RNA, 1742 nt
Organism: Podarcis muralis (Common wall lizard)
Lineage: Eukaryota; Metazoa; Chordata; Lepidosauria; Squamata; Lacertidae
Source: RefSeq, a predicted model, not a curated record